This is a long non-coding RNA of Humulus lupulus (European hop), 1039 nucleotides long. RefSeq lists it as uncharacterized. Lineage: Eukaryota; Viridiplantae; Streptophyta; Magnoliopsida; Rosales; Cannabaceae. The transcript has 4 exons. The record is from RefSeq and is a predicted model, not a curated record.
ACUCUGGUCUGGUCUCUCUCCCUCUUAGAAAACCAGUCGAAGAAGAAGCGCCCAUCAAGAAGAAGCGCCCAUCCUCAGCGAGAGUACCCCGGAGGCCCCGACGCUGACCAUCGCCUGAGAAGAAGCACCCAUCCUCAGCAAGAGUACCCCCGAGGCCCCGACGCUGACCAUCGUCUGAGAAGAAGCGCCCAUCCUCGCCUGAGAGAAGAACCCAUACUCGCCGAUCGCCACCUGAGAAGAAAAACCCAGAUGUGCAUGAGCGGGGUGCCUCUUUCGUCCUCCCCUUUAGCCCAGAAAUCCUUAGAAGGUUUAUGAGAAUAAACGCCCAAAAAAAUACUCUGGGAGCUGACUACUCAGGUAGUGAUGGCAUGAAUUCUGGCUCAAUGAAUAUUAUCAGAGGUUUUUAAUCAAGUAAGGUUUAUAGGAAUCUUAUCAAUGGAAGUUGUUGAGAUUUUUAUUUAUAUAUUUUUAUUUUAAAGAUUUGUGCUUUUUUAUUUUUCUUUAUUAUUUUGUGUUUUUUUGUCAUUGCCAAUGAAUAUUAGAGUUAGGGACUUUUGAAGAUACACCAUUUUGAAGACUUUCCCAGCUUCCCUUUUCUUGGUUUGGUGUCUGUUUAAUUUGAAUACAUCUCUGAAGACUCACUACUCUGUUUCUAUGAAGCAUGUAUGACUCAAUAAGCCCAAGCCCAACCAAAAUGUCAUUAGCCUCUCUUUGACAAGAGCAAUUCUCUCUGUCUCUACCAUUAUUGAUUGAUCGUACAAUGGGAGAUCCGCUGCUGCUCCGUUGAUCUGUGAACUUGCUAUGGCGAUUCGCUCCGUCGAUCCGUGGACUUUCUCCGGCAACUUGCUCAAUCAACUUGCUUUGACUUUCUAUGGCCACUGCUGAGGCAGGAAGCAUGAAAAUGAGCAUCAUAACUCAGCUGUUCAUUUGUUUUCUCUGUACAUUUGUUUUCUUUUGAAGAGGAAGAUUAAGUCUUGAUAUAUAAGUCAUCUAGGAUUACAUGGAAGAUUACGAGAUUAAAGUUCCUUUCCAGUCUCUU